AUUGAACGCUGGCGGCAGGCCUAACACAUGCAAGUCGAACGGUAGCACAGAGGAGCUUGCUCCUUGGGUGACGAGUGGCGGACGGGUGAGUAAUGUCUGGGAAACUGCCCGAUGGAGGGGGAUAACUACUGGAAACGGUAGCUAAUACCGCAUAACGUCUUCGGACCAAAGUGGGGGACCUUCGGGCCUCACACCAUCGGAUGUGCCCAGAUGGGAUUAGCUAGUAGGUGGGGUAAUGGCUCACCUAGGCGACGAUUCCUAGCUGGUCUGAGAGGAUGACCAGCCACACUGGAACUGAGACACGGUCCAGACUCCUACGGGAGGCAGCAGUGGGGAAUAUUGCACAAUGGGCGCAAGCCUGAUGCAGCCAUGCCGCGUGUAUGAAGAAGGCCUUCGGGUUGUAAAGUACUUUCAGCGGGGAGGAAGGCGUUAAGGUUAAUAACCUUGGCGAUUGACGUUACCCGCAGAAGAAGCACCGGCUAACUCCGUGCCAGCAGCCGCAGUAA
RNAcentral lists this ribosomal RNA (506 nucleotides) under uncultured bacterium. Its description in RNAcentral is "partial 16S ribosomal RNA". It matches the Rfam family "Bacterial small subunit ribosomal RNA", at positions 30 to 523 of the family's 1533-position model. The record is from RNAcentral.